This is a long non-coding RNA of Ceratitis capitata (Mediterranean fruit fly), 500 nucleotides long. RefSeq lists it as uncharacterized. NCBI's taxonomy places the organism in Eukaryota, Metazoa, Arthropoda, Insecta, Diptera, Tephritidae. The record is from RefSeq and is a predicted model, not a curated record. The transcript has 2 exons.
AUAGGUACAUAUUCAAGUCAUUCAGGUCAAAUUUUGCGCAGGUACCUUACUUAUCUUUUCACAUAUGUAUUUGUUCCCUCUAUCAGCACAUGUGAAAAAUAUCAAAAUAGACGCAAAAUUUCCAGUCUGACUGAAAUAGUACAAGAAGUUUGAUCUCAGAUUGUUUUUAUCCCUCCACCAGAAUGUACACAGAAGUAAUGUUGUAUGUUUGUGCGAUGAUGUGUAUGCUUUUAAUUAUCAACAUAUAUGUCAAUGCGGUAUACGAAAGAUAUGUGUAUAGAUUCAUAGACAGGGAUGCUCCAUGAAGGAUGCCUAAUCGGCAAUAAUAAAUCAAUAACUAAUGUUUAUAUGUCAGGUGGCCAAUGUCUGGAAGUAGAAGGUGAUUUAGAAUUUUCUAAGGUUUAAUAAUGUAAUGUACAUAGUUAUCUACUAAACAACUGUAAAUUUUACUAUUUGCCUUUUGUUUAAAUAGAAAUAAAUAACAAUAAUUUUAUGUAAAA